GACACAUUGGAGGCAAAUACAAAGACGUUUGUGAAAAGUGCUAGCUAAUCGAGUUGUUUUGACGUGGUGGUACUGGUAGACACAAAUGUUCUAGAAAAACCAUGCAUGUACAAACAACAAGUCCUGAUUUGGAGUUGAAAGGCAUGUGACGUGAGCCACAAUUAAUAAUUGGAGAACCUAACUCAUCAAGACGCUAACAUGUUGGAGGACCCCAGCGAACUUUCAACUACUAGUCCUUAAUCAUGAAGAUUUGACUAUGUCUAAUCAUGAAGAUUUGACUAUGUCAUGAGAAAAGGGCGGCAUGGUAAAAAACUACACCCUCUCUCUCUAUCCAUUUCACUUGUCAAGGAGUUUCACUUGUCACGGAGCUAAAACGAUAUUAGUUACCCAAAAAUUUUACAAAAUUUUUCAGAUUCUUCGUUACAUCGAAUCUUUAGACGUAUGCAUGAAGUAUUAAAUAUAAAUGAAAAUAAAAACUAAUUGUACAGUUUGGUCGGAAUUGACGAGACGAAUCUUUUGAGCCUAGUUAGUCCAUAAUUGGAUAAUAUUUAUCAAAUACAAACGAAAGUGCUACUAUUCAUAUUUUGCAAAAAUUUUUGAAAGUAAACAAGGCCUGUACAAAUUUGAAACGGACAGCGUACUCUGUGUGGCCUGUGUUGGUAGGUAGCGUGAUUAGAUUGGAGAUAUGGCCGAAACAAGAGGACGCUCAUCAUCAUCAGUGACGCAAAGGCUCCUCCGUAUAGCAUUACGCCGUUUUAUUUUAUUUUAUUUUAUUUGUCCCACGUGCCGCUCGCGGCUACUCUACUCCUAGCGGGCAGCUGGCGCAGUAUCGAUGGGCUAGGCGGAGGGGCAGGCGAGCGUUACGUGUCGUGUAACAGCCGCUGCGAGAUGCGGCUGUAUUGUACUCCCUCCAUCCCAAUAAUUAAUUUACAAGUCAUUCUAAAAAUAUUA
RNAcentral lists this long non-coding RNA (951 nucleotides) under Sorghum bicolor (sorghum). RNAcentral's name for it is "long non-coding RNA (SBIC_LNC000321)". The record is from RNAcentral. Lineage: Eukaryota; Viridiplantae; Streptophyta; Magnoliopsida; Poales; Poaceae.